GAUGAACGCUGGCGGCGUGCCUAAUACAUGCAAGUCGAGCGAACGGACGAGAAGCUUGCUUCUCUGAUGUUAGCGGCGGACGGGUGAGUAACACGUGGAUAACCUACCUAUAAGACUGGGAUAACUUCGGGAAGCCGGAGCUAAUACCGGAUAAUAUUUUGAACCGCAUGGUUCAAAAGUGAAAGACGGUCUUGCUGUCACUUAUAGAUGGAUCCGCGCUGCAUUAGCUAGUUGGUAAGGUAACGGCUUACCAAGGCAACGAUGCAUAGCCGACCUGAGAGGGUGAUCGGCCACACUGGAACUGAGACACGGUCCAGACUCCUACGGGAGGCAGCAGUAGGGAAUCUUCCGCAAUGGGCGAAAGCCUAACGGAGCAACGCCGCGUGAGUGAUGAAGGUCUUCGGAUCGUAAAACUCUGUUAUUAGGGAAGAACAUAUGUGUAAGUAACUGUGCACAUCUUGACGGUACCUAAUCAGAAAGCCACGGCUAACUACGUG
Molecule: ribosomal RNA, 497 nt
Filed under: uncultured bacterium
Lineage: Bacteria
Description: partial 16S ribosomal RNA
Rfam family: Bacterial small subunit ribosomal RNA
Source: RNAcentral